GCGCGCGUAUGCUCAGCGGUUAGAGCUGCCUGCUCAUAACAGGUCGGUCGUUGGUUCGAAUUCAACCGCGCGCACCA
This 77-nucleotide transfer RNA is filed under the name Teichococcus rhizosphaerae. RNAcentral describes it as "Roseomonas rhizosphaerae tRNA-Met". It matches the Rfam family "tRNA". From Rfam's summary of the family: Transfer RNA (tRNA) molecules are approximately 80 nucleotides in length. Their secondary structure includes four short double-helical elements and three loops (D, anti-codon, and T loops). Further hydrogen bonds mediate the characteristic L-shaped molecular structure. tRNAs have two regions of fundamental functional importance: the anti-codon, which is responsible for specific mRNA codon recognition, and the 3' end, to which the tRNAs corresponding amino acid is attached (by aminoacyl-tRNA synthetases). tRNAs cope with the degeneracy of the genetic code in two manners: having more than one tRNA (with a specific anti-codon) for a particular amino acid; and 'wobble' base-pairing, i.e. permitting non-standard base-pairing at the 3rd anti-codon position. Lineage: Bacteria; Pseudomonadati; Pseudomonadota; Alphaproteobacteria; Acetobacterales; Roseomonadaceae. The record is from RNAcentral.